GUAAAGCUCUUUCAGCCGGAAAGAAAACGCACGGGUUAAUACCUUGUGUGGAUGACGGUACCGGAAGAAGAAGCACCGGCUAACUACGUGCCAGCAGCCGCGGUAAUACGUAGGGUGCGAGCGUUAAUCGGAAUUACUGGGCGUAAAGCGUGCGCAGGCGGUUUUGUAAGACAGAUGUGAAAUCCCCGGGCUUAACCUGGGAACUGCAUUUGUGACUGCAAGACUAGAGUACGGCAGAGGGGGGUAGAAUUCCACGUGUAGCAGUGAAAUGCGUAGAUAUGUGGAGGAAUACCGAUGGCGAAGGCAGCCCCCUGGGUCGAUACUGACGCUCAUGCACGAAAGCGUGGGGAGCAAACAGGAUUAGAUACCCUGGUAGUCCACGCCCUAAACGAUGUCAACUAG
RNAcentral lists this ribosomal RNA (402 nucleotides) under uncultured bacterium. RNAcentral's name for it is "bacterial SSU rRNA". It matches the Rfam family "Bacterial small subunit ribosomal RNA", at positions 425 to 819 of the family's 1533-position model. The record is from RNAcentral.